GGUUAGUUUCAUAAUAUGCUAAAAUAUGGAUCAACAAGUCUCACUUGCCUUUUCCAUCAAUAGCUAGCGCCUGAAGUGGUUUUAAUCAGCAACAUUAUUGUAUGCACAUUUGAACUUUUUCAAGAUUGACCAGAGGGAUCGAGUAAGGGAUGCUUGAAGGUUAUAAACGCCUCAGGUGUCCAAGACAUAUCUACUCUGUCUUGAGAAAACCUUUUUCACUCUUUAAAGUCCGGCUUGUUGUAUGUGGGUAGUGGACCUUUAAUCUAGGAGGUGCGCAUUGUUUAUGCUAAAUUUCGUCAAGUGGGAUUGAAUAACAAAAUCUUGGUUACGAAUUAACUAGAUAAAACUUUAAACGAAAGCAAUAGGAAAAUAAAAAAACGACACGAGGAAUUGGUGACGUGGAAAACCCAAGGAAGGUAAAAACCGCGGGUAGAAUGAGGAUCUACCAAACUUUCACUCUGUAAAAUAUCGAACGAAAAGAGGAUUACAGGAUAUGAUCAAUGUAUUGUAAUAGCUAGGUUAUCCUGUGUCCAUUGUCGUUGGUAUCCUCCCUUUAUAUAGAUGAUUUUUUGGGUUGAAAGUAGCCGUUGCAAGGUGAUAGGAUGAACUCCUCAUUUUCCGGCAACUACCACUUGAUUCAUGGUGUUGAGCUUAUCCCCAUAAUGGGUUGAUUCUGCUGGAGGGUAGACUUAGUUUUGGCGCUUAUCACUUCCUAGAGAAUAGGGAGGUUGUUAUCCCUGCUCCGUCCGUCGAGUCUUGUACUGUAAUCAUUGAUUCUUACUCUUCGUCGCUGACCCCUGUUGACUAGCAUUGACUUUGACUCACUAAAAUUUACCCAUAACAAUUUGCCCCUAACUGCUUAAUAUGGGCAGCUAUGUACAUGUUCAGCAAUUACAACUAUAAAAACAAGAAAACAUAAAUCAAAAAUUUAAAAUUGAUGGACUUAAAAAACUGAUUACUUAAGGGCAUAAGUGUCCUUCCACCUGGUGCACUAACUCGAGAAGUUGCUUCAACUUCCCACUUCUCUAAUUUAACCGUCAUUUCAAGCCUUUAUUACUGCGCGCUGCACAUUUUCCUGCUUCACCAAAUUUACUGCACUCUUUCUCUCUCUUCUUUCUCUUUCUUUUCAGCAAUUACAACUAAAGCGGCGAGUGGCAGUGAUUCUUCGAUUCAAGCUUUCAACAACUUCAAUUGAUAGGUAAUUACUUCGAUUUUCUGUUUAGUUAGUUAUUUUGGGCGAAUGUCGAGUAGUAUUCCUAAAGUUAGAUCUAGGUUUUCACUUCGCAUUGUUGAAAAGAGAGGAACGGUUGUUUCACAGAGGAAAGCGAUGACUAGGGCGGAAUCGCUGAUGGCGCUUGACAUGAUGGAGGGCUUUAUAAUGAUGGUAGGGUUUCUUGAGACUGCCUUUGCCCACGUUCCGGGCAAAGGCAAGAAAGUAGAGAAUUGCCCCAAGGGUUUCGUCGUAUUCUUCAAGUACCCGUUCUUGGAGACAGGGGCUAAAUUUCCAUUUAAGCCCUUAACUAAAUCUUUUUUCGAGGUGCUGGGGUUGAGCCCUAGGCAAUUGAUGCCGUCUGGCUCGAGGAUUUUGUCGGUGUUGGAGGAGGUUACCAAAAAUUGGGAUGAUCCUUUUACUUUGGAGGAUUUAACUGAGGCGUAUGAGAUAAGGAUGAGGAAGGAUGGUUUUGUAAGUUUGCAUAAGAAGGGGGAACAGUUGGUUUUGAAUACCGACUGUAAUGACAGGGGUUAGGUUAGUUGGUUUGUUUCGUCAAAAAGAUAUCACUGGUUCCGGAGGAAAUUGGUUGACGGAGGGAUGGCCAACGAAGGGUAAGUAUCUUUUUCUCGUAUUUGAUUUCUUGGACUAAGGUUUUCUAAAUGUUUGAUCUUGGUUCUGACUAUGCAGGCCUGAAUUUCGACUUUCUCGAGCCGACGGAGGCGUCAGCGUUGCAGGUAAAGCGGAUUCUUGAGGUGAAACACAUGGAAAGAACUUUCGAAAGGACGAGGUACAUUCUUGGUGAAUUGUCGGGCUAAAAGCAAAAAGGAUUACCAAGUACCUCGAUGUCUACUCAAUCUGCAGCACAAGGUAGUCGUCUAGGACGAAGCCUAUCUCAGGCGGAGCAAAAUGCACGGAUGAGGAGGAAACGGGAGUUGCCACCUCAAGAGGCGUCGCCAUUGUCGGUGGUAGACAGGACGGAGCAGCUGAAUGCUUCGUCGCGACAGAAGGUUAGCGAUGUAGCCACACUGGUUUAUGCGUCGUCGUCCCCUCCUCAUAAACAGCAAAAGAUGGACGACACUCCAGCACUUCCAGGCGCAUUUUCCUGCUGGCUACCUUAGUCUUAGUAAGGAUACUCGUCGGUCUUUGUUUCCGCAGUUGAAUCAACUGUUGUUCCCCGGUUCUCGAGAAGGGUUGGCUGGGACUUCGAUCUUGGAUAUUGCGUCGGAGGCUGCUUCCGUUCAUCUCUACUGUUUGCAGAAUUCCUUGGCUUUAAGGGAAAGGGUGAUCGGGUUGGCUAAGGAGAUGAAGAGGUUGGAUGAUGUUGCUAAAAACAGUGAGGCUAAGAAUAGGACUGCGACGAGACAAUUUCAAACUGUGAAAAAGAAGUUCGACGAAGCAGUCAAGAAGGUGGACGAACUGGAAAGUCGUCUAGAGGCUCAGGCCAAGAAGAUGGACGAGCAGUCAAAGAAGGUGGAGGAGCAAACCCAACAGCUAUAGGACCAAGCCAAGCAACUGAAGUAGCAAGCCCAGUAACUGGAAGACAAAGGUGUAAUCAUACGGGACAGAGGUGAAGCUUUGUCGAAGGUGCAGGAUGAGUUGUUGAUAGUCGAAAAGGAGCUGGAUGACGCUCUAAAUAAGGGUGCAGAGUUGGAGAUCAAACUUAGGGCUCGAUUGAUGAAGGAGUACCUGGACGAGAAGGCUUCGGAAUGGCGACCUCAGGAGGACAUUAAUCGCUUUUUGACUAAUGGAGGGACUCUUGCUGAGCUAGGGGAAGAUGCUGCGGUAGUUUCGACUGCAGAUUCGGGACCUCAUCCGUCAAACGUUGUUCCUCCAUCCAUUGACGAUGCUAAAGCGCAACCAUCAGUUGGUGAAGGCGUUGGAGACAAUGCUCAUGUCGACGAAAUCAUAAAGAUGUCGUCGAGGAGCUGAACACUGAUGACAAUGCUGCUGGAGGUGCUGAUAUUUGAAGGCCAUCGCUUGUGAUGGUUUCACUUCCUUUUGUUAUGUACUUCUGUUUCUGUUUCGUACUUUGACGUUUUUACUUUUUGUUUGGAUAUUUUCCUGUUGUUGCUUUUGAAUUCCCUUGUUUUAGAUUUCGUUGCUUUAUGUUUCACUUGGUGGCAAGUGGUUCUUUUGAACACUGUCGUGAUGUCGUCAUAACUUUUGUUAUGGUAUUUUUCCUUUGUUUCGUCUGUUGUCUUUUUCUUUUGAUCUGCGUAUAGCAAGCAAUGUAAGGUAAAAACUUUUUUUAUUUUUUUUUACUUUUUUUUAUAGGUUAGGGAAAAACAGUUAAGUUAAAACCAAAGCAAAAAGGAUUUUUAGUUGGGUGAAAGGAGUUAAGCGAAUAUUAAAAUACGGAAAAGAGUUAUCAUUUAGUAAAGUAUUUACUGGGUUGUUUGAAAUAAAUUAGACCAUGUAAUAAACAAAAGAUGUAAAACUUGAUAAAAAAAAAACAUUUUUUAUUUGCUGACUUGUCAAUGUACAAUGUAUUCGUCGAAGACUAUGUAUACUCGAGUUUAGGCCUUCGCUGUUUGCCAAUGCCCCUUGCGUCCCAGCGUCGACGCUGAACACUGAAGACUAAGUUCGUAGUUCAGGUGUCGGGUGUUUGGCGUCACACGUUAAGGUCAGAUUUGCCCAGGCUUCAUCUUGUUUCAAUGUUUUCAUUUGAACGGCGGCUUUCCUCAUCCUUUUGAAGGAUGUCACUGUAGCCGACGUCGAUUGCCUUUGUAUCGUUUUGUUGUGAUUUUGGGUCGUGACCUGAGUUAUUUGUUUCGUCGCCGUAUGUUUUGUCGAUCGAUGUUCUGCAAAACCAACAUGGUUAGAGUACCAUUGGCCG
Long non-coding RNA from Chenopodium quinoa (quinoa), 4049 nucleotides. RefSeq lists it as uncharacterized. The record is from RefSeq and is a predicted model, not a curated record. The transcript has 3 exons. Lineage: Eukaryota; Viridiplantae; Streptophyta; Magnoliopsida; Caryophyllales; Amaranthaceae.